GAUGAACGCUAGCGGCAGGCCUAAUACAUGCAAGUCGAGGGGGCAGCAAUGUCACCGGCGAACGGGUGCGUAACACGUUUGGAAUCUGCCCUUUACUGGGGGAGUAGCCCGCCGAAAGGCGGAUUAAUACCGCAUAUGCUCGUGGUCUGGCAUCAGGCAGCGAGGAAAGGCUUCGGCCGGUAAGGGAUAACCAUGCGGCUGAUUAGCUAGUUGGCGGGGUAGAAGCCCACCAAGGCGACGAUCAGUAGGGGACCUGAGAGGGCGAUCCCCACCACGGGCGACU
RNAcentral lists this ribosomal RNA (283 nucleotides) under uncultured bacterium. Its description in RNAcentral is "partial 16S ribosomal RNA". It matches the Rfam family "Bacterial small subunit ribosomal RNA", at positions 28 to 320 of the family's 1533-position model. The record is from RNAcentral.